AAACAGAGUGCCUCCGAGUAAUGGCGAAAAUUUGAACCGCAACCUGGAGGAGCAAGGAGAGAUUCGGAGAGCAGAGGCUCGUGGGCUUUCAUAUCACGUGGAAGGCUUGCUGUCUAGACACCUGCAGCACGGCCCUCUGCUAGAUCACCAUGGUCCAACAUUGGACACCCAUACCCGAUCUACUUUUUCAUCGAAUGCCAAUCAACAUAAAGAAGACGUGCCCUUCAAUGUUUCCUCCACAGCCCAUAGGAGAGAACAACAGAUUGGUGAUGGAGGAGAAGGGGCUGUUUCUCUCUCAAAG
RNAcentral lists this long non-coding RNA (301 nucleotides) under Spirodela polyrhiza (greater duckweed). RNAcentral describes it as "long non-coding RNA (SPOL_LNC000410)". The record is from RNAcentral. Lineage: Eukaryota; Viridiplantae; Streptophyta; Magnoliopsida; Alismatales; Araceae.